GACGAACGCUGGCGGCGUGCUUAACACAUGCAAGUCGAACGGAAAGGCCCUGCUUGCCGGGUACUCGAGUGGCGAACGGGUGAGUAACACGUGGGUGAUCUGCCCUGCACUUCGGGAUAAGCCUGGGAAACUGGGUCUAAUACCGGAUAGGAGCCAUUUUUAGUGUGAUGGUUGGAAAGUUUUUUCGGUGUGGGAUGAGCUCGCGGCCUAUCAGCUUGUUGGUGGGGUAAUGGCCUACCAAGGCGGCGACGGGUAGCCGGCCUGAGAGGGUGGACGGCCACAUUGGGACUGAGAUACGGCCCAGACUCCUACGGGAGGCAGCAGUGGGGAAUAUUGCACAAUGGGCGCAAGCCUGAUGCAGCGACGCCGCGUGGGGGAUGACGGCCUUCGGGUUGUAAACUCCUUUCGCUAGGGACGAAGCUUUUGUGACGGUACCUAGAUAAGAAGCACCGGCUAACUACGUG
RNAcentral lists this ribosomal RNA (464 nucleotides) under uncultured bacterium. Its description in RNAcentral is "partial 16S ribosomal RNA". It matches the Rfam family "Bacterial small subunit ribosomal RNA", at positions 28 to 507 of the family's 1533-position model. The record is from RNAcentral.